Molecule: ribosomal RNA, 229 nt
Filed under: uncultured bacterium
Lineage: Bacteria
Description: partial 16S ribosomal RNA
Rfam family: Bacterial small subunit ribosomal RNA
Source: RNAcentral
UACGUAGGUGGAUAUUUAAGUUGGAUGUGAAAGCCCCGGGCUCAACCUGGGACGGUCAUUCAAAACUGAAUGUCUAGAGUACAGUAGAGGAAAGUGGAAUUUCAGGUGUAGCGGUGAAAUGCGUAGAUAUCUGAAGGAACAUCAGUGGCGAAGGCGACUUUCUGGGCUGAUACUGACACUGAGGUACGAAAGCGUGGGGAGCGAACAGGAUUAGAUACCCUGGUAGUCC